This 806-nucleotide ribosomal RNA is filed under the name uncultured archaeon. RNAcentral's name for it is "bacterial SSU rRNA". It matches the Rfam family "Archaeal small subunit ribosomal RNA", at positions 85 to 876 of the family's 1478-position model. The record is from RNAcentral.
ACGGCUCAGUAACACGUGGCUAACCUGCCCUUGGGACGGAAUCAACCCCGGGAAACUGGGGCUAAUCCCCGAUAGGUGAAGAACUCUGGAAUGAGUCUUCGCCCAAAAGGCGUCAGAUCAUGCUUCUGGCGUCGCCCAAGGAUGGGGCCGCGACCGAUCAGGUUGUUGGUGAGGUAAUGGCCCACCAAGCCUAUUACCGGUGCGGGCCGUGAGAGCGGGAGCCCGGAGAUGGGCACUGAGACAAGGGCCCAGGUCCUACGGGGCGCAGCAGUCGCGAAACCUUUGCAAUACACGAAAGUGUGACAGGGUCAUCCCGAGUGCCGACCGCUGAGGUUGGCUUUUACCCAGUCUAGAACGCUGGGGGAAUAAGGAGAGGGCAAGUCUGGUGUCAGCCGCCGCGGUAAUACCAGCUCUCCGAGUGGUGUGGACGUUUAUUGGGCCUAAAGCAUCCGUAGCUGGCUGAACAAGUCCCCUGUUAAACCCACCGAUUUAAUCGUUGGUCUGCGGGGGAUACUGUUCGGCUAGGGGACGAGAGAGGCAGGCGGUAUUCCCGGGGUAGGGGUGAAAUCCUAUAAUCCCGAGAAGACCACCAGUGGCGAAGGCUGCCUGCUAGAACGCGCCCGACGGUGAGGGAUGAAAGCUGGGGGAGCGAACCGGAUUAGAUACCCGGGUAGUCCCAGCUGUAAACGAUGCAGACUAGGUGUUUGGACGGCCACGUGCCGUUCUAGUGCCGCAGGGAAGCUGUUAAGUCUGCCGCCUGGGGAGUACGAUCGCAAGAUUGAAACUUAAAGGAAUUGGCGGGGGAG